GAUGAACGCUGGCGGCGUGCCUAACACAUGCAAGUCGAGCGAAGCGCCUUACUUGAUUUCUUCGGGAUGAAAGUAUUGUGACUGAGCGGGCGACGGGUGAGGUAACGCGUGGUAUAACCUGCCUCAUACAGGGGGAUAACAGUUAGAAAUGACUGCUAAUACCGCAUAAGACCACAGCACCGCAUGGUGCAGGGGUAAAAACUCCGGUGGUAUGAGAUGGAUCCGCGUCUGAUUAGCUAGUUGGUAAGGUAACGGCUUACCAAGGCAACGAUCAGUAGCCGACCUGAGAGGGUGACCGGCCACAUUGGGACUGAGACACGGCCCAA
RNAcentral lists this ribosomal RNA (326 nucleotides) under uncultured bacterium. RNAcentral describes it as "bacterial SSU rRNA". It matches the Rfam family "Bacterial small subunit ribosomal RNA", at positions 28 to 334 of the family's 1533-position model. The record is from RNAcentral.